GUAGGGAAUAUUGCGCAAUGGGGGAAACCCUGACGCAGCGACGCCGCGUGAGUGAUGAAGGCCUUCGGGUCGUAAAGCUCUGUUGCAGGGGAAUAAAAAAAUGAAGGUACCCUGUGAGGAAGGAUCGGCUAACUUCGUGCCAGCAGCCGCGGUAAGACGAGGGAUCCUAGCGUUGCUCGGAAUCAUUGGGCGUAAAGAGGGCGUAGGUGGCUUGGUAAGUCAGGUGUGAAAGCCCAGGGCUCAACCCUGGAAGUGCAUUUGAUGCUGCUGAGCUUGAGUGUCGGAGAGGUUACCGGAAUACCUGGUGUAGUGGUGAAAUACGUAGAUAUCAGGUGGAACACCGGAGGCGAAGGCGGGUAACUGGACGAACACUGACACUGAGGCCCGAAAGCGUGGGGAUCAAACAGGAUUAGAUACCCGGGUAGUCC
RNAcentral lists this ribosomal RNA (428 nucleotides) under uncultured bacterium. RNAcentral describes it as "partial 16S ribosomal RNA". It matches the Rfam family "Bacterial small subunit ribosomal RNA", at positions 354 to 796 of the family's 1533-position model. The record is from RNAcentral.